RNAcentral lists this ribosomal RNA (510 nucleotides) under uncultured bacterium. RNAcentral's name for it is "bacterial SSU rRNA". It matches the Rfam family "Bacterial small subunit ribosomal RNA", at positions 355 to 883 of the family's 1533-position model. The record is from RNAcentral.
UUGGGAAUCUUGGACAAUGGGGGAAACCCUGAUCCAGCCAUGCCGCGUGAGUGAUGAAGGCCUUCGGGUUGUAAAACUCUUUCGACGGGGACGAUAAUGACGGUACCCGUAGAAGAAGCUCCGGCUAACUUCGUGCCAGCAGCCGCGGUAAUACGAAGGGGGCUAGCGUUGUUCGGAAUUACUGGGCGUAAAGCGCGCGCAGGCGGUCUUCCAAGUCAGUGGUGAAAGCCCGGAGCUCAACUCCGGAACUGCCAUUGAAACUGUUGGACUUGAGGAUGAGAGAGGUGAGUGGAAUUCCCAGUGUAGAGGUGAAAUUCGUAGAUAUUGGGAAGAACACCGGUGGCGAAGGCGGCUCACUGGCUCAUUACUGACGCUCAGGCGCGAUAGCGUGGGGAUCAAACAGGAUUAGAUACCCUGGUAGUCCACGCCGUAAACGAUGAAUGCUAGCCGUUGGGCAGCUUGCUGUUCAGUGGCGCAGCUAACGCAUUAAGCAUUCCGCCUGGGGAGUAC